This 2169-nucleotide ribosomal RNA is filed under the name Triticum aestivum (bread wheat). RNAcentral describes it as "partial small subunit ribosomal RNA". Lineage: Eukaryota; Viridiplantae; Streptophyta; Magnoliopsida; Poales; Poaceae. The record is from RNAcentral.
AUGGCUACCACGCCGGCGCUCCACGACGCGCUGCUCGACUUUACUUCGCGGGAGAACUGGGACAAGUUCUUUGCCCUCCGCGGGGAUGGCGACAGCUUCGAGUGGUACGCGGAGUGGCCGCAAAUCAAGGCCCCGCUCCUGUCGCUCCUCCUUGGGGAAGAGGGGACGGAGAUCCUUGUCCCGGGGUGCGGGAGCUCGUCGCUCUCGGAGCAGCUGUACGACCUGGGGUUCCGCCGCAUCACCAACGUCGACUUCUCCCGUGUCAUCGUGGCCGACAUGCUCCGCCGGCACGCCCGUGUGCGCCCUCAGAUGCGUUGGCGCGUCAUGGACAUGACCAACAUGCAGUUUCCAGAUGGUUCGUUUGAUUUCAUACUUGAUAAGGGAGGAUUGGAUGCUCUUAUGGAGCCGGAGGUUGGCACAAAACUGGGGAUGAAAUAUCUAGACGAGGCCAAGAGGGUUUUGAAGUUAGGCGGGAAAUUUGCGUGCUUUACUCUAGCAGAAUCCCAUGUUUUAGACCUACUUUUGUCCGAGUUCAGGUUUGGAUGGGAUAUGACUAUUCAAGCUAUAGCUAGUGAACCCUCUAGCAAGUCUGCCUUCCAGACCUUCAUGGUGGUCAUGGUAAAAGGGAAGAUGGGUGUUGUACACACAAUAAAAUCACUAGUGGACCAGUCUGCUGAAUACUGUAACAUGCAACAGGCAAAUGCUGUAAUUCAUGCUCUGCAAAAUGAGAACAAAAUCCGGGAGUCACACAAUUCUGGUGUUGAUAUACUUUUCUCGUUGCGAGAUCUUCAGCUGGGUGCUAUUGGAGAUCUAAAGGUUAUUGUUCCAGGACGAAGGAGGCAGUUAAUUCUCGGUGAACAAGGAAGCUCACUAUAUUGCUACAAAGCUGUUUUAAUGGAUGCCAAGAAUCAAACUGAAACAUUUGCAUACCACUGUGGAGUUUUUAUUGUUCCUAAGGCACGAGCUCAGGAAUGGUUAUUUGCUUCAGAGGAAGGGCAGUGGCUUGUUGUUGAAAGUGCAAAGGCUGCUCGUCUAAUCAUGGUAUUCCUCGAUAGCAGACAUGCAAGUGCUGACAUUGAUGUUAUCAAGAAGGAUUUAUCUCCUCUUGUUAUGGAUCUAGAACCUGAAUAUCCUGAAGAGACAGACCCUAUGCCAUUCAUGAUGGCCAGUGAUGGUGUGAAACAAAGAGAUGUUCUGCAGGAGGUAACAUCAGAAAUAACAGGUCCUAUGGUUGUGGAAGAUGUUCUUUAUGAAAAUGUUGAUGGAGACCAAAGCUGCAUGUCUGAAAAAAUGUUCCGGCGACUUAUUUUUAAAAGAAGUUCUGGCUUAGUGCAAUCUGAAGCAUUGUUAAUGAGAGAAUCACCAAGUGAUGAGAUGGACAGUAAGACCAAGAACUCAUCUACAUCAUCAAAAAAGAAGAGCCAGAAAAAGGGACUCACUGGAUCCAAGGACAGUCUGAGGGUCGACCAUAGCUAUCUUGGUAGCUCUUAUCACAGUAGUAUCAUAUGUGGGCUUUCUUUAGUUGCAUCUGCUCUGAGUGCUGCGGCAUCAUCUGGAGAAAGGGUCAGUACCACUAUUGUAGGCCUUGGGGCCGGGAGUUUACCAAUGUUUCUUCGUGGAUGCCUCCCUCAUCUUGAUAUUGAGGUUGUUGAGUUGGACCCCGUGAUGGAGGAGGUCGCGACGAAAUAUUUUGGCUUUUCAAUGGAUGAGCAAUUGAAGGUGCAUUUGGGGGAUGGAAUCAAAUUCAUUGAAGAAAAUGCCCAUUCUGAACGAAAUGGCAAAGACAGCGAUGCAGUUAGAAUUCUUAUUGUUGAUGUUGAUUCAUCUGAUCUAAGUUCUGGGUUGUCUUGCCCCCCAGCAAACUUUGUCGAAGAUGCUUUCCUUAUGUCAGCAAAAAAGUUCCUUUCAGCUGGGGGUCUCCUCAUCAUCAAUCUAGUCGCGCGAUCAUCUGCAGUCAGGGAAAUGGCCGUUUCACGACUGAAAGCGGUCUUUGAAAACCUAUACUCACUGCAACUCGAAGAAGAUGUGAACGAAGUCCUGUUUGCAUCCCCAAGCAAAAGAUACCUGGAAAUCGAUCACCUUGAUGAGGCUGCAACUAAACUGAAGGCUAUGCUGAAAUUCCCGGUGGAUGUGGAAUCAGACAUGAAGAAUUUGCAGAGGCUGCAGUAG